This 427-nucleotide ribosomal RNA is filed under the name Acidobacteriota bacterium. RNAcentral's name for it is "Acidobacteria bacterium partial 16S ribosomal RNA". It matches the Rfam family "Bacterial small subunit ribosomal RNA", at positions 355 to 775 of the family's 1533-position model. Lineage: Bacteria; Pseudomonadati; Acidobacteriota. The record is from RNAcentral.
UAGGGAAUUUUCGUCAAUGGGGGAAACCCUGAACGAGCAAUGCCGCGUGAGUGAAGAAGGUCUUCGGAUCGUAAAGCUCUGUUGUAAGUGAAGAACGGCUCAUAGAGGAAAUGCUAUGGGAGUGACGGUAGCUUACCAGAAAGCCACGGCUAACUACGUGCCAGCAGCCGCGGUAAUACGUAGGUGGCAAGCGUUAUCCGGAAUCAUUGGGCGUAAAGGGUGCGUAGGUGGCGUACUAAGUCUGUAGUAAAAGGCAAUGGCUCAACCAUUGUAAGCUAUGGAAACUGGUAUGCUGGAGUGCAGAAGAGGGCGAUGGAAUUCCAUGUGUAGCGGUAAAAUGCGUAGAUAUAUGGAGGAACACCAGUGGCGAAGGCGGUCGCCUGGUCUGUAACUGACACUGAGGCACGAAAGCGUGGGGAGCAAUAGG